UUGGAGGGCAAGUCUGGUGCCAGCAGCCGCGGUAAUUCCAGCUCCAAUAGCGUAUAUUAAAGUUGUUGCAGUUAAAAAGCUCGUAGUUGAAUUUCGGGACCAAUUUGUUGGUCGUGCCUCGGUACGUACUGGUAUUAUUGGUUUCUACCUUCUGAAGAACCUUGAUGUCAUUAAUUUGGUGUCUUGGGGAAUCAGGACUGUUACUUUGAAAAAAUUAGAGUGUUUAAAGCAAGCAUACGCUUGAAUACAUUAGCAUGGAAUAAUGAAAUAGGACGUUUGAUUCUAUUUUGUUGGUUUCUAGGAUCGACGUAAUGAUUAAUAGGGAUAGUUGGGGGCAUUAGUAUUCAAUUGUCAGAGGUGAAAUUCUUGGAUUUAUUGAAGACUAACUACUGCGAAAGCAUUUGCCAAGGAUGUUUUCAUUAAUCAAGAACGAAAGUUAGGGGAUCGAAGACGAUCAGAUACCGUCGUAGUCUUAACCAUAAACUAUGCCGAAUAGGGAUCGGAUGAUGUUAAUUUUUUAAUGACUCAUUCGGCGCCUUACGGGAAAC
Molecule: ribosomal RNA, 548 nt
Filed under: uncultured Glomus
Lineage: Eukaryota; Fungi; Glomeromycota; Glomeromycetes; Glomerales; Glomeraceae
Description: SSU rRNA
Rfam family: Eukaryotic small subunit ribosomal RNA
Source: RNAcentral